This 463-nucleotide ribosomal RNA is filed under the name uncultured bacterium. RNAcentral's name for it is "partial 16S ribosomal RNA". It matches the Rfam family "Bacterial small subunit ribosomal RNA", at positions 28 to 507 of the family's 1533-position model. The record is from RNAcentral.
GAUGAACGCUGACAGAAUGCUUAACACAUGCAAGUCUUUGGCGAAGCUGUGCUUGCACAGCCUAGCCAAGGCGGACGGGUGAGUAACGCGUAAGGAACUUGCCCUGCAGUCAGGGAUAACAGACGGAAACGACUGAUAAGACCUGGUAAAGUCAGGCGGACUCAUGUCCAGCCUGAUGAAAAGUGAUGCUGCAGGAGAGCCUUGCGUCCUAUUAGCUUGUUGGUGAGGUAACGGCCCACCAAGGCGAUGAUAGGUAGCCGGCCUGAGAGGGUGGACGGCCACAAGGGGACUGAGAUACGGCCCUUACUCCUACGGGAGGCAGCAGUGGGGAAUAUUGGACAAUGGGGGCAACCCUGAUCCAGCAAUUCUGUGUGCACGAUGAAGGUUUUCGGAUUGUAAAGUGCUUUCAGCAGGGAAGAAAAAAAUGACGGUACCUGCAGAAGAAGCGACGGCUAAAUACGUG